UAAACACCUAUGUGAAGGACGCCUGGCUCAAGAAAUAGAACUUUCCAGGAAAUAGGGAACUGAAGGUUAUCUCUGGCAAUCUGGAGAGGCCAGGAACCCACCGCAGGCCCCCUGGAGAUGGAGAGGGAAACAGGCGGGUAAAGAAAGCCCCUCUACUUAGAUGGGCUUCUUGGACCUGAACAGCUGCAUGUCUGGAUGUGGUGGGCUGUGAAAUGAUCCCUGCCUUGCUGGGUGGUGGGGGUGGAGGUGGCAGCCAGCUCAGC
Molecule: long non-coding RNA, 263 nt
Filed under: Homo sapiens (human)
Lineage: Eukaryota; Metazoa; Chordata; Mammalia; Primates; Hominidae
Description: HSALNT0124334
Source: RNAcentral